GCCCAUCAUAUGUUAAUAUAUGCAACAUAAAUUUUGUGCGGAAAAAAUGACUGUAUUUUCCAAAACCCAAGAAAAUUUUCUGAGAAGAGCAUCAUAGUUUUACUUUUUUUUUUUUUUUUUUUUUUUUUUUGCAGAUCUAUUUGAUAUCUGGCCUAACAGGAGACAGGUGGAUUCUCAGGUCUGCUCUGCAUUUAAUCUGUUGUGGUGUGCUAUUGUGGUCGAAAUCGCUGGAAAAACGUGACUUUCAGCGGGAACAGAGAAGACCUCGCAGAUGCCCUGAGAGCUGCCGGCUUGAUGAUAAAUAUAAACUGGAAAAGUCAUCCAGGAGAUCAAAUAUCGAAGAGAAAUCUCAAAAAGCUGCCAGUAGAAGCAAAAAAAACCCAGAAACGUUGCAACAGAUCAUAAUAGGGGAGAAGAGUAAAGAAAACAAACAGAGGAGCCUCUACACUGAGCAGCUUAGUGUUACCCAGCUCUUAGAUACCACUUGGAUUGUUAGCAUAUAUGCAUAUGGUUCAGUGUCUUCCUGCCGGCACUUUGGACCUAGAAGAUGUGCACUUCCUAGUAAAUGCUCAACAAACACCCGAGGAACUGAAUGUACCGCUUUGGAGCUGUUUGUCCCCGAAGCCGGCAUCUCUCGUCCCCGAUGGUUGAGCUUCUCUUGAAAGCUUGCCAGGUCCUCGUGACUUUCCUUUGAGUCAUUUGCUCCUCUCCCCCACAUUUUCCAGGCUUAUUUUUUCCACUGACCUGAUGUUCUGAUGUGCCCCAUGCCUAUUCCUCAUUUGUCUUUACUUUCUGCUCUGUCACAAAAGCAAAAUGUGAAAUGAUCCAUGCUUUCAUUGGCACGGCUCGGUCUUGGGGUUUCGUUCCCCCCUCGCGAAACCAUUCAUGUGGAGGAAGCUUUUGAUCUAGGAUUCAGAAACUCAGUCACAUUUUACAUAACCAGAACCGUGCUAGGUGGUUAUGUAAACUCUGGUUUUGACUUGAAUAGCCAGAGAAGAGUCUUUACAAUUUAGGUUAAAGCAUGUUGUCAGCUUCCAUUCAUUGCUGAUGGUCUGAAUGUCAAAGUUAUCCCACAUGGUGCCAUCAAAGAGACGCAUGAGUGUGUCAGGGGAGAAUAUGGAAAGACAAAAAAAUGUUUGCUAGACCCUUUUUGUGUGUGUGUAAUGUGUUGUUAUUAUCGUAUAAGAUGACUUGAGAAGAGAUCGAGUUUGCUCAUCUAGUUUAGUGAACAACUGCUAGAAAAGAGAGAAAAUAAAUAAAGCAUCCCGUGACA
This 1273-nucleotide long non-coding RNA is filed under the name Felis catus (domestic cat). RNAcentral describes it as "lncRNA (ENSFCAG00000048242.1)". The record is from RNAcentral. Lineage: Eukaryota; Metazoa; Chordata; Mammalia; Carnivora; Felidae.